GGGGGCGUAGCUCAGUUGGGAGAGCACCUGCCUUGCAAGCAGGGGGUCAGGAGUUCGAAUCUCCUCGUCUCCACCA
This 76-nucleotide transfer RNA is filed under the name Parabacteroides distasonis. RNAcentral's name for it is "tRNA-Ala". It matches the Rfam family "tRNA". From Rfam's summary of the family: Transfer RNA (tRNA) molecules are approximately 80 nucleotides in length. Their secondary structure includes four short double-helical elements and three loops (D, anti-codon, and T loops). The record is from RNAcentral. Lineage: Bacteria; Pseudomonadati; Bacteroidota; Bacteroidia; Bacteroidales; Tannerellaceae. RNAcentral also lists the same sequence under 59 other names.